Molecule: ribosomal RNA, 479 nt
Filed under: uncultured bacterium
Lineage: Bacteria
Description: partial 16S ribosomal RNA
Rfam family: Bacterial small subunit ribosomal RNA
Source: RNAcentral
UGACCGCUAGCGGCAGGCCUCAUACAUGCAAGUCGGACGGGAUUCAGGAGCUUGCUUCUGAUGAGAGUGGCGCACGGGUGCGUAACACGUAUGUAACCUACCUUUAUCAGGGGGAUAGCCUCUCGAAAGAGAGAUUAAGCCCGCAUAAAAUCACAGCACAGCAUUGUGUAAUGAUCAAAUAUUUAUAGGAUAAAGAUGGGCAUGCGGAACAUUAGCUAGAUGGCGGGGUAACGGCCCACCAUGGCGACGAUGUUUAGGGGAUCUGAGAGGAUGGCCCCCCACACUGGUACUGAGACACGGACCAGACUCCUACGGGAGGCAGCAGUAAGGAAUAUUGGUCAAUGGGCGGAAGCCUGAACCAGCCAUGCCGCGUGCAGGAAGACGGCCCUACGGGUUGUAAACUGCUUUUAUACGGGAAUAAACCCAGAUACGUGUAUCUGGCUGAAUGUACUGUAAGAAUAAGGAUCGGCUAACUCCGU